RNAcentral lists this transfer RNA (76 nucleotides) under Candidatus Riesia sp. Its description in RNAcentral is "tRNA-Asp". It matches the Rfam family "tRNA". From Rfam's summary of the family: Transfer RNA (tRNA) molecules are approximately 80 nucleotides in length. Their secondary structure includes four short double-helical elements and three loops (D, anti-codon, and T loops). Further hydrogen bonds mediate the characteristic L-shaped molecular structure. tRNAs have two regions of fundamental functional importance: the anti-codon, which is responsible for specific mRNA codon recognition, and the 3' end, to which the tRNAs corresponding amino acid is attached (by aminoacyl-tRNA synthetases). tRNAs cope with the degeneracy of the genetic code in two manners: having more than one tRNA (with a specific anti-codon) for a particular amino acid; and 'wobble' base-pairing, i.e. permitting non-standard base-pairing at the 3rd anti-codon position. The record is from RNAcentral. Lineage: Bacteria; Pseudomonadati; Pseudomonadota; Gammaproteobacteria; Enterobacterales; Enterobacteriaceae.
GGAACGUGGGGCUGCUUGGCGUGGCCGCAUCCCUGUCACGGAUGAUAUCAGGAGGGUUCGAUUCCCUUACGUUCCG